This 923-nucleotide long non-coding RNA is filed under the name Coturnix japonica (Japanese quail). Its description in RNAcentral is "lncRNA (ENSCJPG00005007282.1)". Lineage: Eukaryota; Metazoa; Chordata; Aves; Galliformes; Phasianidae. The record is from RNAcentral.
CUUUCAAGGUUAAGUGCUCAUAAUGGGACAUGCUGAUUGCAGGCCUCGUCUGAGAUGUGCAGAAAGCUCACACCAGUUUAAAGAUACAUGAAUUGUGCUGUCAUAACCGUACGAUGCCAAAAAGACCUGCUGCUAUUUGAGUGACUGACCGCUCAUCUGAUGGGUCUCAGUUCUGAAGUCCAAAAUGAGAUUCCUCUGCUUAAGGAUGGGCUGUACAGAGAUGCACUUGGAGUCCUGCGACUGCUGCUGAAAUCAGUGGGAACCGACUUCAAGCACCACUGAAACACACUCCUGGCUCUCCCAGAAUCCUUUUUUUAAUUGAAGACGCUUGGAUGUUACAAGGUGCUUCUAACAAGAAGGAUGCAGUGUGCGUCGUACACCGAAGUCAUACUGCAACAGGAGCAGAAGCGGCUGUGUUUGCAUUGCCCGCUCACAGUCUUUUUGUUUGCACAGACUUCACAUGUGACAGCAAGAUUUAUAGAGAGAAACUGAAAGAAGCAGAUGAUUUUUGGUAAGAUUUGGGGUGUAUGAAUUCAUAAAUCCUUGUUGUCCUGGCUCGUAGGAAUCCCAUUCUGUCUACAUUUCAGUUUUGUUUUCUGCUUUCCCUCCCCAGUAGAGUUGAACCUGGGAAUAGCAUCGCUCAAUGGCUCGUUAGGUUGAUAAAGUGGUAAAAGUGACGAUAGCUACAAUGGGUACUUCCAGCUCAGAAGCAUUUAUAGAUCUCGAGGGAAUUCUGAAAAACACCAGAAAGUCUUUAGGUACUGAAUCACAGGCAAGUAUUUUGAAUCUUUAAUUUUUUCUUUAUAUAUGCUUUUCUAUGAGAAUGUCAGAACUGAAAUAUGGAAUAUGCUUUUCCCACUUGGUUUCUAUUACUUGUAAAGCAUUCAAAAGCUUCUAGAAUAAAAUUACCUCUAUGCCCUGCA